RNAcentral lists this unclassified non-coding RNA (1467 nucleotides) under Amphibalanus amphitrite. RNAcentral describes it as "trimethylguanosine synthase-like, transcript variant X4". Lineage: Eukaryota; Metazoa; Arthropoda; Thecostraca; Balanomorpha; Balanidae. The record is from RNAcentral.
UGUCAUUAGAACACAUGAAGGGACGCAUGCUUUUUUGGGGGUUUUCACGAUUUUUCACAACCUUGUAUUACAACCUUGUUUUAUUGUGGCUUUGUUGAAUUAUAAAACAAGUUUUGAGUAAUGUUGAUCGUUUGAACCUGUUUGAACUGUCAUCUCAAGGAUCUAGCAAGGGAAACAGGUAGCAUGCCAUCGACAUCAGAGAGCACUGUAAAGGAAGGCCCAGGACAGCCUUCAACCCAAAUAACUAAGAAGAAAACUUAUCGAAUGCCAUCGUGGAAAAUCAGGCGACUAAAGGGACGUGGCAUCGGUGCCUUGCUGAAGCAACUGCAGCCAGAUGGCUGUGCUGGACAGGAUCCCACACCAUCAGGUCACCUAGAGGGUGAAACAACCGAUCCUGUUCAGAGAAUCUCGCACAAUGCAGAGAAGUUGGAGAGCAAAGCGCUUAACCUGGCUAGGAAGUCCGAUUCAUCCGAGCAAGAAGGCCGGCCUCUGGCGGAACAAGCUCAACCCCCAAUAAAGGAUAGCUGCAGCUCUCCGGUGCAUCCACCUGUCAGCAUUCCGAAGUUGGACAAAAGGCUAGCCCAACAAGAGGAAGGUGUCAAAGAAAGUGGCGGAAAGAAUGCCUUUAAGAGGAAAAUGACUGCGCUUGUUCGAAAGAGCCCGGAAUUACGAAAAUAUUGGCACCAACGCUACCGUCUCUUCUCUAGGUUUGACGAGGGAGUUCGUCUGGACCGGGAGGGCUGGUUCUCGGUGACGCCCGAGCGAAUCGCGCGGCACAUCGCCGACCGGUGUCGCUCGGACGUCAUCGUGGACGCGUUUUGCGGCGUCGGCGGCAACGCCAUCCAGUUCGCCGCCACCUGCCGGCUCGGUGAGACCGCACACACAACGGGACCUGGGCUGACAGAGAAGACAUGAAAGAGCGUGAGGCACGAAAUCCUAAUGACUGAUUGCGGUGGACAUAUGUCCCGAGCGUGUGGAGCUGGCUCGGUUUAACGCCGGCGUGUACGGUGUGCAGGACCGUAUCCAGUUUGUGGUCGGCGACUUUUUCGAGCUGGCACCGCGGCUGCGGGCCGACGCCGUGUUUCUUUCGCCUCCUUGGGGUGGUCCUGAGUACUCGAAUGCUGAGGUGUACGACAUGUACCGACUGGACGGUACAAUGGAUGGUCGCGAGAUGAUGCGAGCCGCCCGCUCCAUCUCCAAGAACAUCGCCCUCCUGGCGCCGCGCAGUGCCGAUGUAGAUCAGCUGGCGGCGAUGGCCGGCCCGGGCGGUCGGGUGGAGGUGGAACAGAAUCUCCUCAACGGCCGGGCCAAGACCAUCACGGCAUACUACGGGGACCUGAUCGGCACGGGCGAGUCAUGAGACAGCGGUGAAACGGUGCUUCUGAAGGUGGAAUGGCCAGAUGGUGCUCCUGUGGUGUAUUGUGAUGACAUGAAUACAGAAAAGCCAUGCUGUGUUGUAACUUGUAA